RNAcentral lists this ribosomal RNA (930 nucleotides) under uncultured bacterium. RNAcentral describes it as "bacterial SSU rRNA". It matches the Rfam family "Bacterial small subunit ribosomal RNA", at positions 29 to 945 of the family's 1533-position model. The record is from RNAcentral.
UUUUUUGGUUGUGUUGCGGGAGCUACCAUGCAGUCGAACGGUAGCACAGAGAGCUUGCUCUCGGGUGACGAGUGGCGGACGGGUGAGUAAUGUCUGGGAAACUGCCUGAUGGAGGGGGAUAACUACUGGAAACGGUAGCUAAUACCGCAUAACGUCGCAAGACCAAAGAGGGGGACCUUCGGGCCUCUUGCCAUCAGAUGUGCCCAGAUGGGAUUAGCUAGUAGGUGGGGUAAUGGCUCACCUAGGCGACGAUCCCUAGCUGGUCUGAGAGGAUGACCAGCCACACUGGAACUGAGACACGGUCCAGACUCCUACGGGAGGCAGCAGUGGGGAAUAUUGCACAAUGGGCGCAAGCCUGAUGCAGCCAUGCCGCGUGUAUGAAGAAGGCCUUCGGGUUGUAAAGUACUUUCAGCGGGGAGGAAGGUGUUGUGGUUAAUAACCACAGCAAUUGACGUUACCCGCAGAAGAAGCACCGGCUAACUCCGUGCCAGCAGCCGCGGUAAUACGGAGGGUGCAAGCGUUAAUCGGAAUUACUGGGCGUAAAGCGCACGCAGGCGGUCUGUCAAGUCGGAUGUGAAAUCCCCGGGCUCAACCUGGGAACUGCAUUCGAAACUGGCAGGCUAGAGUCUUGUAGAGGGGGGUAGAAUUCCAGGUGUAGCGGUGAAAUGCGUAGAGAUCUGGGAGGAAUACCGGGUGGCGAAGGCGGCCCCCUGGACAAAGACUGACGCUCAGGUGCGAAAGCGUGGGGAGCAAACAGGAUUAGAUACCUGGUAGUCCACGCCGUAAACGAUGUCGACUUGGAGGUUGUUCCCUUGGAGGAGUGGCUUCCGGAGCUAACGCGUUAAGUCGACCGCCUGGGGGAGUACGGCGCAAGGUUAAAACUCAAAUGAAAUUGACGGGGGCCCGCCAACAAGCGGUGGAAGCUAUGUU